Molecule: ribosomal RNA, 823 nt
Filed under: uncultured fungus
Lineage: Eukaryota; Fungi
Description: eukaryotic LSU rRNA
Rfam family: 5.8S ribosomal RNA (bases 358-511)
Source: RNAcentral
AAGUCGUAACAAGGUUUCCGUAGGUGAACCUGCGGAAGGAUCAUUAACACGUGCUUUAACACGUAUUAACUAAACGCGAACUCGUUGUAAGCCUGUUGCUGGAUAUGUGCUGUACCAUGCGGGAAUGGUGUGACCCUCGGGUCUAACUCAUGGUCUUAUCGUACUCGAUACGAGGUUCAUUCCAGUAAUAGUAGAUGAAUUUCGGCUGCGUAUUAAACCUGCACCUUGGUUUGCAGUCCGGGGUGAAAUUAUUACCUACCCAUUAUUUAUACUUAUUCUGAUUUGUACGUUUAUACGAAUUCCUGACUUAAUUGUUGGUUGAGUUUGUAUCGAUGUCGUAUAUUACUAAUACGAAACAACUCUUAGCAACGGAUAUCUUGGUUCUCGUAACGAUGAAGAGCGCAGCGAAAUGCGAUACGUAAUGCGAAUUGCAGAAUUCAGUGAAUCAUCAAAUUCUUGAACGCAACUGGCGCCUUCAGGUUUACCUGGAGGCACGUUUCUCUCAGUGUCGGUUAUACUCUCUCCGAUUAACUACGUUUAACGACGCAGUGAAAGGGACAAUGAGUGUUAUGACGUAACAGUCAUAUCGCUUUAAAUCGAACGAGUUAAUUUCUUUAUAGUUGGUGGUUUGCGUUCGCGCAGGGCUGCCGCUGUACUCGACUCAAGUGAUGUGGGUAACUCGUCUUCGGAUGAUGCUUUACAUCGUAUACUUAGUAGUUUAUGGUUCACUAUUUAGAGGCUAGCGAAAAACUGUAGAUCAUUGACUUCGGUCAGCGUUCUCAUAUUUUGACCUGAGAUGAAGCGAGGCUACCCGCGGAAUUUA